Molecule: ribosomal RNA, 253 nt
Filed under: uncultured bacterium
Lineage: Bacteria
Description: partial 16S ribosomal RNA
Rfam family: Bacterial small subunit ribosomal RNA
Source: RNAcentral
GACAGAGGGUGCAAACGUUGUUCGGAAUUACUGGGCGUAAAGCGCACGUAGGCGGCGACUCAAGUCAGAGGUGAAAGCCCGGGGCUCAACCCCGGAACUGCCUUUGAAACUAGGUUGCUAGAAUCUUGGAGAGGUCAGUGGAAUUCCGAGUGUAGAGGUGAAAUUCGUAGAUAUUCGGAAGAACACCAGUGGCGAAGGCGACUGACUGGACAAGUAUUGACGCUGAGGUGCGAAAGCGUGGGGAGCAAACAGG